Molecule: long non-coding RNA, 265 nt
Organism: Mytilus trossulus (common blue mussel)
Lineage: Eukaryota; Metazoa; Mollusca; Bivalvia; Mytilida; Mytilidae
Exons: 3
Source: RefSeq, a predicted model, not a curated record
AAAAUGCCUCUUGUACAACAUGCACUUGGAUUCCAUCAUCUGUUUUGAUCAAGUCUAGUCGUCGUAGCCACCAGUAAAAUGAUGUGGAUGAAUGUAGUUUUACUUUUAUCAGUAAUAGCUGAAUACUCAGAAGCAAAGCCUGACAUUGAGAUUAGCUACAGGUUUUCUGAUGAAUGGUGCAAGAUAGACUGUAGUGCAACAGAUAUGCCAGCCAAUUCUGAGCUACUUUUAUCGAAGAAUUCGCCAGAAGACAACUCUCUUUAUU